AUACGAAGGGGGCUAGCGUUGUUCGGAAUUACUGGGCGUAAAGCGUACGUAGGCGGACUGAUCAGUUGGGGGUGAAAUCCCAGGGCUUAACCCUGGAACUGCCUUCAAUACUGUCAGUCUUGAGUUUGGGAGAGGUGAGUGGAAUUCCUAGUGUAGAGGUGAAAUUCAUAGAUAUUAGGAGGAACACCAGUGGCGAAGGCGGCUCACUGGCCCAUUACUGACGCUGAGGUACGAAAGCGUGGGGAGCAAACAGGAUUAGAAACCCCAGUAGUCC
This 274-nucleotide ribosomal RNA is filed under the name uncultured bacterium. RNAcentral describes it as "partial 16S ribosomal RNA". It matches the Rfam family "Bacterial small subunit ribosomal RNA", at positions 523 to 796 of the family's 1533-position model. The record is from RNAcentral.